CAAAAAGUUUUUUUAAAAACUACUAAAUCUUCUUAAUCCAGUCUAU
This is a non-coding RNA of Homo sapiens (human), 46 nucleotides long. The record is from Rfam. Lineage: Eukaryota; Metazoa; Chordata; Mammalia; Primates; Hominidae.